Molecule: long non-coding RNA, 2600 nt
Organism: Meriones unguiculatus (Mongolian gerbil)
Lineage: Eukaryota; Metazoa; Chordata; Mammalia; Rodentia; Muridae
Exons: 5
Source: RefSeq, a predicted model, not a curated record
UUCCAAUGCUGUUUUCAGUGUAAGAUACAUUUGCCCCAAGAGAUCCAACUGCGAGCACUGCUUUAUGAAUUGCUUCAAGAAAAGAUAGAUCGUCCCUCAGUGAACUAGGAAUAGAGGGAAACUCACUUCUUCAACUUGCUAAAAAGAGUUUACCAAAACUUGCUGCAAAAGGGUAAGAAACUCCAAGCUCUUCCGCUGAGAGGAGGGGAAGCCGAGGGCUCCCCACCUUGGCUGCGCCCCCACAGCAUCUUACUGGGAGUCCUGGACAAUUCACAGCAGAAGAAGGGAGAGAAGGCAGCAGAAGAAGCUGCCAUUUAGGAAGAAGUAAAGAAAAAUGAAACUGUCUUUGCACAUGACAGAAGCGCUGGUAUAGAAAGCCUCGGAGAGAUGACCGACCACAGAAGUCUUCGGAAUUAAUAACUGUGAUGUUAAUCCAUUGUCGAUUUGAUGUGAGUUAGAAUUACAAUGGAAACAAGUCUUUGGGAAACUCCGUGAGGGGGUUCCCAGGUAUGGGCAGAGUCACUGCCUGAGUUGGGUCCUGGGCUGAAUAAAAAGGAGAAAGUGAAAAAGAGCGAGCUGAGCUUCACCUCUUCUGCUUCCCGGCCAUGGGUGUCACGUGGCCAUCUCCUCUUGCCCCCUCCACAGGGCUUUUUCACGGCAAUGGACUGGGGGUAUUUUUAAACUGUGAUCCAAAAGAAAUCCUUCUUUUUCUUACAGCUGUUUCUGCCGUACUGGUGUGUGAGUAACUAACGCAGUGCCUGGUUUAAAGGCUGAAAGAUUCAAAGUUGAGGUAUAGGCUUACCCACUGUCCUAAAUGCCUGCGACGGACAGUUGGGAUUUGAGAUGAAAAGCACCGCACUGGUCACGGGACACUGUAAAUGCAGAUGAUGACAAGAUUCAAAGGAAGGAAUCGCAAUUCAAAGCGAACGCACUGCGAGCAGCAUGGGGUCUCUGACGCUCAGCAUGCUCUUUUCUCAGAAAUCUGCCUUCCCUUGGGUUUCUGGGUCAGUGACGGAAGUGACCAGGUGGGGCCCAUCUGGGAUCCUUGGCUCUUCAUUCGUCUUUUAAUGAUUUCAGUGUUGGGACCAGGACAGAGACAGCCAGGCAGCCCAGGAUCAUCCUGUGUCAGUGAUGAUAUCUGCCACCUGAAGGAGGUCGGGAGUUUAACAUUUGUCUUCAUAAUAAAAACCUUGAUGAAUGUGCACAUUUGAAUGAAUACAGUUCGUGAGCCAGGCUAGUCAGAGCCAGGCUAGUCAGUGCACAUUUGUUUUCAUAUAUGCAUAUUAGGUUUGCAUAUGUGUUAGGAUAGUAACAUAGAAGAUAAUCUGCACAUGUUUUCACAGCCUUGUAUUGUUAUUGUGUGAGUGUUCGCCUACAUGUAUGUAAACACACCAAAUGCAUGCAGUGUCGGUGGAGGCCAGAAGGGGGCCUCGGGUCCUCUGAGCCAGAGUUACAGACACUCCUCAACUGUGGCCGCUGGGUACAAACUGCAGGCCCCCGGAGAGUGGCAAGUCCCCCUGGCUGUACAGCUUAUUCUUUGCACCAGUUCUGGGGCACCACAGCCUCGUCCAUCACGGGCUGUCUGAGCCGGUUCACUCUCAGGUCGUGCUAGCUUUGCUGACUGGAGUACUUCAGGUCCUGCCUGCUCUGGCUCUGUGUUCUUCAGGACCCUCCAGCUGCGGGGAUGGUCACAGCCUCCUACGAACUCUCUGGAAACACUGCUGCUAGGAACAGACCUGUCACGGGAGGACCCUGCGUGUCAAGAUUGCAUCCCAGAAUGCCCGGUCAGCGGCAGAGAGCCUGGUCCGUGUGCUUCCUGCCCAGUAUGAACGCUGCGCCCGUCCCCUGCAGCCUCUGGGCCACACGAGGCUGCUCAAGGGCCCGAGCCACGAAGGGUGGCUGGACUUGACACAGCUGAGAAUCCCGUGGGAAGAGAGCCGCAGCUCAAGACAUUUCUAGAUCAGGAUUCUUGAGACACUUGAAACAAUCAAGAUUUCGAUACAUCUGACAAGACAGGCACGUGGCUACUUGAAGCAGUAACAGAGCAUCACAGCCUCUUUCCAGCUGUCUUCCAACCUUUUCAUACCAACUGAAAACACUCAUUUGACAUUUUCACUGACGCACUUCUUUUCAUAUGCCAGCUGUCUUCUUGGAAACUUCACUUAACUUUGUGCAAAUCUGAUGUGACAAACAGUUACUCGUUUGUACUCUGACGUGAAGCAGGAUAUGCCCACAUGUGCCCCAACUGAAAACACGAAGUAUUGUUCCUGCCAGAAUCAUCCCUAGAAGCUUCAGGUUAGCAGAGCAAGAGGUGCUGACCAGAAGUUUAAUGUGGUGAGAUCCGCUGAUGACUCCACACUGUCUCCUCACUCCUGAGAAUGUCAGUGAAGGCAGCCAGCCCCUCCUGUAGGUGUGAGCCUCCAUAUCUGAGCCAUGGCUUAUCAGACACACCUGUGUACCAACUCUCAACUCAACAGGAAGGAAAAGCUAUUGUCUAAGCUUUAGGAUCAAUGUUCUCAUCAACAAAAGCCCACAGUUGGGUACCACCAACAGGAGUUUGUUAUGACUCCUUUUCUGCUUCUCAGAGCACAAAAUAACCC